Molecule: RNA transcript, 8311 nt
Organism: Acanthochromis polyacanthus (spiny chromis)
Lineage: Eukaryota; Metazoa; Chordata; Actinopteri; Pomacentridae
Exons: 3
Source: RefSeq, a predicted model, not a curated record
AAUUUGUUAAAUAACUCAUCCCAGUGUGACAGAAGUAAUAAAACCAAGCAGAAAGAUCUUGUAGUGUCAAAUGUGUAAUAUCACUUUACCUCAAGCCAAACUUAUUUUCAUCAUCACAGUUCCAGUCACCUGCCAAGGAGAUGUGUUCUGCAUGUUUGACACCCGUCUAUCCGAUGGAAAAAAUGGUGGCCAACAAACUUAUCCUGCACAGCACCUGUUUCUGCUGCAAGCACUGUAGGAAGAAGCUCAGCCUCACCAACUAUUCAUCUCUUUAUGGAGAGUUCUACUGCAUUUCUCACUACCAACAGUUGUUUAAAAGAAAAGGAAACUAUGAUGAGGGAUUUGGCCACAUGCAACACAAAAACCACUGGCUUCAGAAGAAUAAAGGAACAGAUGAGCCAGAUGCCAAAUCCACUCCCAAAAUAACAAAACCCAAACUAAGCACUACUGUCACCUCCAGAGAGUCUCCCACUGAAGCCAUAAAGUUACCUGCAAAAGAGUCAGGAAGUAAAAGCGGUACUGAAUUUAAGGGGAAACUGAAAAUGAGCUGGCCCCCAGAGAAGAAGAACAGUGGGCUUAAUCUGACACAACAAACAAGAGCAUCGUCUCUGAAAAAAUCUGGAACAGAUGAGCCAGAUGCCAAAUCCACUCCCAAAGUGACAAAACCCAAACUAAGCACUACGGUCACCUCCACAGAGUCAUCUGCUGAUGCCAUAAAGUUACCUGCAAAAGAGUCAGGAAAUAAAAAUGGCACGGAAUUUAAGGGGAAAUUGAAAAUGAGCUGGCCCCCAGAGAAGAAGGACAAUGAGGUUAAUCUGACACAGCAAACAUAUGCAUCAUCUCUGAAAAACAAGAUAUCUGAGUUCGACAAAGCAGCUGCAGUCACUAAGAGCUUUUCAGAGAAUCAGAAAAAUGACAAACUCAACUACAAAAUAGAUAUGAGAACUAAGGCAGUGAAGGAAAAAUCGAAGAUAGCAGGCUUUGUCUCAGCUGAGAAAUUACCCAUAGAGAAAACAAGCCUUAAGACAGGCCAUUUCCAAGUCAAGAGCUCAGAGAAUAGUAUUUCUGUCAUGAGCCAAAAAACACUUCAGUCAGGUGUUACACCCGCCACGAAAACAAACAGUUCAACCCCUAACAGGUUGGAUCCAAAUAAAGUUCGUAAAUCUGUACGGUUUUCUCCGCAUGUUGAUGUGACUCAGAAUGACCAGCCCUCUAAAUCAAGCUCAGAAGCUGAAAAUAACAUGCUGUCAGAUCAACCUGAACAAAGUGAAGUAACAGCAAUCAGCGACAACACAAAUGUUGAUCGUUUAACAUCUGAGAUCAGUGGAGAAUGUCAAGAAAGAGAGAUCUACCUUGAAAUCCCUGAACGUAAAUGCCAAGAAGAAACAACAAGUAAAUCAAACCAGGAGAGUGAUGUUAAAGAGAAAAACAGUCAAGAGAUUCCACAGACUGAGAUUACAACUCCGAACAAAGAGAAGGUUGAUGAAUCACUUCACACUCAAAGUUUUAGUUCAACUCAGGACAUCAUGAUGCAACAGGAGCCAGUUGAGAAGCCAGAUGUCCCACCAAGAAACUUCGUGAAUGCAUGUGAGUCAGAAAAUCUAAAUAUUCCACAAAGUCCAGCAAGAAAUGUGACCAUAGUGGAGUUCAGUCUUCAAAAGAAUGAAAACCAGUUGGAAAAGACUGAUUCAAUCAAUGACCAAGGAAACAGCGGUGAUCAGAAGAAGCCUCUUGCAAGAACAAAUUCUCUAAAAGGUUCUUCUAAACAGGCUGACAAAACUAAAACCAAACUGGGAUCCUGGUCCAAAGGAAAGAGUCCUUUGUCAAAGUUCUUCACAUCGAGUGGAAGCGACAAGACAAACAAGGCUGAACCGAAGGACGGCAAGAAACCUGAAGUCAAAACUAGUGGUGGACUUCUGGGGAGGCUGUUUCAGACAUCUUCAGAGAAAACCGAGGAGACCAAAAAAACAGCAGAUGAAAGGAACAAAAAAACACAUGCUGAUGACAAGAACACAGGAAAGGAAAAAGAGACAAAAGAGAUGCAAAAAGAAAAAGACAAAUCUCAGGUCUCACCUCUGGAACCAGAUGUUCAGAACAAUACCAAGGUGAAGUCACAGCCUUCCGAGCCCAACACACUAGAUAGUAACUGCAGAUCUACAGAGCCAUCCAACCUCCCUCAGAUACCUGCUCGUGAGUCAGGUGACAAUCAAACAGCUGGUGAUAAAGAGUCAAAUUUGCAGAGCAGUGAAGCUACAGAUCUGUCUGUCAGUGAGCCUGAAACUGAGUCUGAAGAUCCUCCCUCUCUGAACACAGUGCAUGACGAGUCAAUCAGUGAGCUGAUACCUGAGAAGAGCAGUGAAGACAUUUUAAAUGAUCCAUUUAAAGAUGAUACUUCUGGAGACAGUGUCAGUUCAGCCCUUGCUGACCCAUUAGCCAUUCAGAUAAUUACAGAUGAAUCAGGCCAAAAACCAAACAAACUGCUAGAUGCAUCAGAUGAAGGGGAAGGAAAACUUUGCAAUGAACCACAUGCCAUUCUCAACCAUGAACAUCCACGAGAUUCCUCCAUUUGUUUGGACCUAUCCAACACCGCUGAUGAUGCGUUUUCAUCUUCUCUAAAUGACACCCAGACAAAACAGCAGGACUUAGAUCUUUUCGGUGCGGAAAACCUGACAAAACAGCAAGAUCUAGAUUCUUACAGUGCAGACAACCAGACAAAACAACAGGACUUGGAUCCUUUUGGUGCAGACAACCAGACAAAACAACAGGACUUGGAUCCUUUUGGUGCAGACAACCAGACAAAACAACAGGACUUGGAUCCUUCAGGUGCAGACAACCAGACAAAACAGCAGGACUUGGAGCCUUCAGGUGCAGACAACCAGACAAAACAGCAGGACGUAGAUCUUUUUGGUGCAGACAACCAGACAAAACAGCAGGACUUGGAUCCUUUUGGUGCAGACAAUCAGGCAAAACAGCAGAACGUAGAUCUUUCAGGCACAGAUAACCAGACAAAACAGCAGGACUUGGAUCCUUUUGGUGCAGACAACCAGGCAAAACAGCAGGAUGUAAAUCCUUUUGGUGCAGACAAUCAGGGAAAACAGCAGAACGUAGAUCUUUCAGGCACAGACAACCAGGCAAAACAGCAGAACGUAGAUCUUUCAGGCACAGACAACCAGACAAACCAGCAGGACUUGGAUCCUUUUGGUGCAGACAACAACACAAAACAGCAGAACUUGGAUCUUUUUGGUGCAGACAACCAGACAAAACAGCAGAACUUGGAUCUUUUCGGUGCAGACAACCAGACAAAACAGCUGGACGGAGAGCCUUUCAUGGCAGACAACCAGACAAAACAGCAGGACAUAGAUCCUUUUGAUGCAGACAACCAGGCAAAGCAGCAGGACUCGGAUCCUUUUGGUGCAGACAAUCAGGCAAAACAGCAGAACGUAGAUCUUUCAGGCACAGACAACCAGACAAAACAGCAGGACUUGGAUCCUUUUGGUGCAGACAACCAGGCAAAACAGCAGGAUGUAGAUCCUUUUGGUGCAGACAAUCAGGGAAAACAGCAGAACGUAGAUCUUUCAGGCACAGACAACCAGGCAAAACAGCAGAACGUAGAUCUUUCAGGCACAGACAACCAGACAAACCAGCAGGACUUGGAUCCUUUUGGUGCAGACAACAACACAAAACAGCAGAAGUUGGAUCUUUUUGGUGCAGACAACCAGACAAAACAGCAGAACUUGGAUCUUUUCGGUGCAGACAACCAGACAAAACAGCUGGACGGAGAGCCUUUCAUUGCAGACAACCAGACAAAACAGCAGGACAUAGAUCCUUUUGAUGCAGACAACCAGGCAAAGCAGCAGGACUCGGAUCUUUUUGGUGCAGACAACCAGGCAAAACAGCAGGACUUGGAUCCUUUUGGUGCAGACAACCAGACAAAACAGCAGCACAUAGAUCCUUUUGGUGCAGACAACCAGACAAAACAGCAGGACUUGGAUCCUUUUGGUGCAGACAACCAGACAAUACGGCAGUACAUAGAUCCUUUUGGUGCAGACAACCAGACAAUACAGCAGGACAUAGAUCUUUCAGGUGCAAGCAACCAGACAAAACAACAGGAGAUGGAUCCUUUCGGUGCAGACAAUCAGACAAAGCAGCAGGAGUUGGAUCCUUUCAGUGCUGACAACCAGGCAAAGCAGCAGGACAUAGAUCCUUUCAUUGCAGACAAUCAGACAAAGCAGCAGGACAUAGAUCCUUUCAUUGCAGACAAUCAGACAAAACAGCAGGACAUAGAUCCUUUUGAUACAGACAACCAGGCAAAGCAGCAGGACGUAGAUCUUUUUGGUGCAGACAACCAGACAAAACAGCAGGACUUGGAUCCUUUUGGUGCAGACAACCAGACAAUACGGCCGUACAUAGAUUCUUUUGGUGCAGACAACCAGACAAAACAGCAGGACAUAGAUCUUUCAGGUGCAAGCAACCAGACAAAACAACAGGAAGUGGAUCCUUUCGGUGCAGACAAUCAGACAAAGCAGCAGGAGUUGGAUCCUUUCAGUGCAGACAACCAGACAAAACAGCAGGACAUAGAUCCUUUUGAUGCAGACAACCAGACAAUACAGCAGGACAUAGAUCUUUCAGGUGCAAGCAGCCAGACAAAACAACAAGAAGUGGAUCCUUUCGAUGCAGACAAUCAGACAAAGCAGCAGGAGUUGGAUCCUUUUGGUGCAGACAACCACACAAAACAGCAGGACUUGGAUCCUUUCGUUGCAGACAACCAGACAAGUAAGGAGGACUUUAACUUUGACAUAUUCAGCUCAAAUGACCACCUGUUCACUCAGUCUCCUGCUGUUAAUAUUCCUCAAGCAGAAGGCGAUACGUCCACAAAUCAGUCAUCUGCCUUGACUGAUGACAUCUUUGGAAUAAGUGAUGUCUCAAGCAGUGCAGAUGUGUUAAUACUGCAGUCAAACAGUCCAGCCAUUGGUCAGAAUACUGACUCUGAUUUACUGAAUAAUUUAUUUGGUUCUGAUGUUCCUUCUUCUUCUGCUCCAUCAGCUCAGAUGGAUCUUUUUAACGGUGACAUUUUUGCAUCAGAACAACUGCUGCCAUUAUCUGAACCAAGUAAUGCAAAUGUAUUAGUGGGCAGUCUUGUGGUGAGCGAAAACAACAGUACUGAGCAAAAAACAGAGAACAAUAGCUGGAUGGAUGAUUUGCUUGGGUAGACUGUUUUAAUGAUGUUCUACUUUUUUUAAAUAAAAGAAGGACUGAUUCAAGUGCAUAGAUAUAACAAAAUGCUAAACAUUUAAUUGGUUACCAAAAACGCAACUAAUAUUGUUUUCACUCACAUUGAAUUUUAUUAUGAAAUCUGCAUCAAAUGCUAUUGUAACAUUUAUGUUUAAAUUUAUGUGGUAAAUAGGCUAUCCAUCUUAUGAAUAUUUCUACAAGAUUAAUGAAUUUUAUCAUUUGAUUUUCUGUCAAAAUGAACUUAAAGACAAACAGACGAUGUAAUGUUUUCUGAAUAACUGAACAUUUACUGUGAGACUUUGCCUGAGCAUAAAGGUGAGGAAAUUAAGAAGUCAAAAUUAGGUCUGCAAGAAUUAACUAAUAAGCUGUCAACUAUUAAAUUAAAAGCAAACUAUUCAGAUAUUUGAUUAACUAGCUCAAGUAGAUGUUUUUUGAUUCCAGCUUUCAGAGACAUUUGUCAUCUUGGCUUUUGAAAAACACUGAUUAACAUUUUUUGCAACCUUUAUGCUCAGUUUUUUUAGGCAUGUUAUAUAUGAAUCAAAUCUAAAACUAAUUGUCAACUGCCAUUUUAUUCAAAAGUGCUAACUCGAUGUAUAUUGAGUUUGAAAUUUUCUGUAUAGCUUCGAGAAAUAAAGUCUUAAAAAUGCCCUUCUAUACAAUGUGUUCAUCAAUGAAUAAUCUGUAAUAAAAUGAUUACUUUAAGAACCGAGGCAGUUCUGGCUGAUGACUUUUCCUGUGUCACUCUGUACUUUGCAGAAAACAAGGUAGAUAGAAGACUGAUAUCUCUCCAGAGCUAUAAAGAAAUAUGAAGCCAGAAGCUAGUUAGCUUAGCCUAACACUGGAAACAUAGGUUAUGUGGUAGAUCUACUGGGGGCAUCUGGCAAAAUAAAGCACAUCUAAUGUCAUAAAUGAAAAAGCAAUGAGUCGAGUGUUGCCCAGUGUGACGGAGUAAGUUUUGAUUGAUUACAACUAUGACUAUGCAUUUUGUUAUCACCGACUAUUUAAAUAAGCAAAGUUCACAAAAUUGUUUGUGUGUCAGAGUACUAUAGUGUCACAUAUUAAGAAAAAGUCUUAUCCACAUAACCAAAAAACAUCUAGCUAAUUGGAAUUAAAUGGAUAAAACAUUUUGAACCCCUGUGACUCAAUACUGACAAACAAUCAGGGUGAAAUAUUACAUGGAGGCAAAAACAGAUUUUUUGUUAUUGGGCAGGCCAUUGUCAGACUUCUUGAAAGAAAACAUCAAAAAACACAUUCAGGUGUUUAUCCUGAUACAUUUUCUAUAAUGAACAUUUACUCAAAUUGUAAACUUAUCAGAAAAUGUGACAUACAUAAACUAAUAAUAUAAAAUAGAAUAAAGCAAGUAAGCCACACAUUAUGACUAAAACAGCGUUGCUGGGGGUUAAAGAACCGUCUGAGGCCUCUUCUUGGACUGUCCAUAUUAUAUUUUAUUAUAUUUCCCUCAUGUCUCUGCCUGAGGUGGCAGAGAAGUGAAGAAAGCACACCCUGUUAUCUGUUGUAAACACAGUAGUAAAACCUAACAUACAUUAAAACCUUCACCUUGACCAACAUUGACCAAAGUCAUAAAAGUUGUUUAACACAGUCACUGCCUGUACCGACACAAAUACAGCUUACCAGCACAAUGCCACUAUUUGAUUUUUUAACCCGCACACUCUAAUAGAGCAUCACAGUCUGGAACCUUGCACUAUAAUGUCCCAGUGAAGCUGACCUUCUACUUUUUAGAUUUAAAAUGCUGUCACACAAAGCACUGUGAAAGUUUUCAAUUGACAGCUCUUGCAAACAUAUUUAUUAACAUACUCAAUAAAAUCUUGAAUGUGGUACAGUGUCUAUUCAAAGUAAAUUAGGUAAACAAUUCAGUCCAAUAACUAUAGUCACAUAACACAAGCUGUCAAAGUGUUUGUAAUUAGUGGGCCAGAUAACUGCAAAUAUUACAAGAAUCAUUCAUGUUGCCACACAAGCACCAAUAUCAUUUUUAUUUUUAACAUUCCUGGUAAAGGGUCAGAAGUCAGUCCUGCAGACAUAGGACGUUUACAUGUUUUGCAUGUUUUAAUCUAAUCUGAACGUAAAAACAUUUUUACAGAUGUCUGACAUUUGAUUUGUGGCCAGGAAAAGAAAAAAGUAAUACAGUGCAUGAUUAGAAGUUUCAUGGCAAAGUUUAAAUCAGUUUGAUCCUUCUUGUGUAAGUGAAAAUUUGAUGGUUCUCUGUUAUUCAGUUGAGCUCUCAAAAUGAAGAAAAUAAGAAUUUGUUUUGUAAAAAUCAUGAACAUCUACCCUUAAUGACAAUAGAGUAGUAGCAGUAACUUGAUUAUGGACCCAAGAGGACAAGAAGACCAGCAGACAAACAUUACUACAACUUGGUUGAAGGGCUGUGUGGAGGUUUGUGUGACUGAUUUUUGCUCCUCAGGGUAGUCUGACUUCUGUAGGGAAGCCCAAUACAAAGAGGUUUAUUAGUUACACUGAACAGGAACAGCAAAAGGGUGUUAUUCAUGUCUUUCUCUGCCACUUUAUGAACAAGCUUUCUAUAUUCUUGGGCUUUAACCUUUUCAUGUUAGGUUAGUUUACAUUUCGAAAAAAAACAAUAGAAAAACUCAAGAUAUUUGUGACUUCACCUAAAACUUAAAAGUAUAACUUUGUGCUGUAUAUAACACUUUUCAUGCUUAGCUGAAAUUAAGAAUCCCAACAUGAGACUUAAACAUUCACAUUUAACUUAAAAAUGUGCUGUCAACAGCAUUUUUCCUGCUGAACCUCCGUCCCACACAAAGUAAAUAGACUUACAAAUUUACACAUACAGUGAAAGAGUUUCAGGAGUUGUUAUAUUGCACACUUCACUAACAAGCACAGAUAACACAGGUCACACAUGUUCAUGGCUUUGAUAAAGGCGUUCGGAGUUGAACCAGGUCUGCUUGCUUGCUGCUUGCAUACCUGUUGCCCUCGGCGUCACUGACUGUUUCUGGAAGCUCUUUGUUUCUGGUCUCAGGAAGCAGGAGGCCGAGAGCUCCGCUGAUGAUGGUGAAGCUGCUGAGGACUGAGAUUGGUAUGGCCCAGUGGUACAUGGACAACA